UACGGAGGGUGCAAGCGUUGUUCGGAAUUACUGGGCGUAAAGCGCGUGUAGGCGGCCUUUUAUGUCAGGUGUGAAAGCCCUCGGCCUAACCGAGGAAGUGCGCCUGAAACUGAUUGGCUUGAGUACGAGAGAGGAGGACGGAAUUCCCAGUGUAGAGGUGAAAUUCGUAGAUAUUGGGAGGAACACCGGUGGCGAAAGCGGUUCUCUAGAUCGAUACUGACGCUAAGACGCGAAAGCGUGGGGAGCAAACAGG
Molecule: ribosomal RNA, 253 nt
Filed under: uncultured bacterium
Lineage: Bacteria
Description: partial 16S ribosomal RNA
Rfam family: Bacterial small subunit ribosomal RNA
Source: RNAcentral